ACACUGGUGGUGAAGUGGAUAACAUACUGUCAGUCUUGCUCUAAGCAAACGUGAUCAGAGACGGGGGUUCGAAUCCCUCCCGGUGUA
Non-coding RNA from Pluteus cervinus, 87 nucleotides. The record is from the annotation of a GenBank genome assembly. NCBI's taxonomy places the organism in Eukaryota, Fungi, Basidiomycota, Agaricomycetes, Agaricales, Pluteaceae.